This 332-nucleotide unclassified non-coding RNA is filed under the name soil metagenome. RNAcentral describes it as "partial contains 5.8S ribosomal RNA, internal transcribed spacer 2, and large subunit ribosomal RNA". The stretch from base 1 to 120 matches the Rfam family "5.8S ribosomal RNA", at positions 35 to 154 of the family's 154-position model. The record is from RNAcentral.
GAUGAAGAACGUAGCGAAAUGCGAUAAGUAAUGUGAAUUGCAGAAUUCAGUGAAUCAUCGAAUCUUUGAACGCACAUUGCGCCCGCUAGUAUUCUGGCGGGCAUGCCUGUUCGAGCGUCAUUUCAACCAUCAAGCCCUGCUUGUGUUGGGGUCCUGCGGCUGCCCGCAGGCCCUGAAAACCAGUGGCGGGCUCGCUAGUCACACCGAGCGCAGUAGCACAUCUCGCUCAGGGCGUGUGGCGGGUGCUAGCCGUAAAACCCCCAACUUCUCAAGGUUGACCUCGGAUCAGGUAGGAAUACCCGCUGAACUUAAGCAUAUCAAUAAGCGGAGGA